Magnolia sinica is the source of this 3037-nucleotide long non-coding RNA. RefSeq lists it as uncharacterized. NCBI's taxonomy places the organism in Eukaryota, Viridiplantae, Streptophyta, Magnoliopsida, Magnoliales, Magnoliaceae. The record is from RefSeq and is a predicted model, not a curated record. The transcript is spliced from 2 exons.
AGAAGGAAAGAAAAUAAUAUGAAUUUCUAUUUUUGUUUCACUAAAGCAUUUUAUUAUUUUUGUACAUAAAAAUCUGCAUGCUAAUUGUUCGAGGAAAUGCCUCAACCAAGAACGUUCUUGUGUUAAUCAUGCUAGAGGUCCUGCAUUUCAACUCUCUGUAAAUGGGGCAUGAAUUGCUGUAUGGUUGGAUGAACCCAUUGUAUCAUCCAUCUAGUAGACCCUUCUUUGGUGGACCAACACAUAAAUUCACAAUGACUGUGGAAUUUUCCCCUGUUUACCUUUUUUGUUUUCAGCCAUCUGCUGAUCAAAUGGCCAGGAUGAUCAUGUCAGUUUGACUUCUAACUGUGGUCAUCCACAAUAGGACCUACCAGAAGGAUGUUUAAGAUCAUCCAAAUAUACAGCUAUCCAGAGCUCACCAAUGUAUAGACCAAUCAGAGGACCUGAAGGACUCCACUGGCACAAAUGUUCUUAAUUUGUAAUGCAAUAAGGAUGCAGUAGCUACUGGAUGUCUUUUACUAGUCCGACUUACUUUGUUUUCAGUUAUCUUGUUUCCUUGAUAAAAUAAAUAAAUAAAGAAGAAUGUUAGCUUGCUAGUUCAAAUGCAGUUCUAAUUGGAUGUGUAAAAAAGAAGAAGAUGUGUAAUUCAUGCUCAGUUUAUGAGAUUAUUUGCAUUAUUUGGUGCAGCAAUGGUAAUUGUCAUGAAAGAGCAUCUGGAACAUGAUUAGGUAGUCGAGUCGAUCAUUUUCAAUAACCAUCAUCUAGCCAAUUUCUCCAUUUUGUUGCAUUCUCCAUCUGGUAACUCUUCACCUAGCUGAUCAUCAGCUUCGCCGACAUCGACAAGGGCAUUGCUAAUAUCACGGCCACAACCACUGCUAUGAUCACAACAAAGUGUAUGCUCCUCUUUCUACUGGUUUUCAAGCUAUUUAUUUCAAAAUGUAAAUGUGCAGCAUGCAUGCCAAUGUGGCACAUUUGACUGAUAUCUGAGCAAUUCAUCAAGUGAGAGCCACCUCAAACAAGAAAUAGGCUAAAAGUAGGCCAAUCCAGUCAUCUCAUGGUCUAGUAGGUGGUCAAUACUCAACUGCUAUUAUAUCCUUAGUUCUGUGCUUUUGCCUUUGCUCUUGAGUACCAUAAGACACCAAUGCCCUUGAAUUUCAAAGAUGACCACCAUUAAUUUUCUUCUCAGCUCUUGGUUUGAGCCAAUGGGUUGCACAUUUUGUAAAAGUUUGCAUGCAACUCUAACAUUUGUUCUUUAUGCUACAUGAUAUUCUGCUAGUUGAGAUCCACGACUUACUGAUUGCUCAGAAAUUUCUGGGAGCUGAUAGGCAGCUGCAGUUCCAUGGUGGCACGUUGGAUUAUCUUUUUUCCCUGUAUGUGGAUUUUUUGCAGGUUGACUACUUCAGAUGAUGUUUUUCUAAGGUUUGCUAAGCCCCAUGUAUGUGCAGGGCAUACCAUGUACAAGCUACAACAUCUGCCAUCAUGGCAGGCAGGUGGACUAUUAGAAACAGGUGGAUAGCUUAGAAAAAUUCUGCAUUUUUUAAAGCCAUAUAUCUGUUUCAUAAUCUGUGGCUCACUUCAUUAUUGGAUUGACCUGAUUCUUUGACUGUGGACGUCAGCAUAAUGGGACCCUUGUGAUGGAUGAUCUGAUCCCAUACCUUUAUGCAUCCAUUUGUUUUUGGUAUGGUUUUAUUCAUGAACAUGUAUUGCUUGCUGCUAGCUGUUGCAUUGGAGAAAGCUACACUUUCAUAUGAGUGUUUUGUGAAGAGGAAGCUUUAUCCAAACUUGGUUUUCUACUCUGGCUUAAUCUAUCGGUAUAUUCAAGAAAAUUUCUACUCUGGCAUCCAUUCUUACUUAACACCCCUGACCUUAAUUACUUUGCUUAGGAUGUGUUUCAGAUAGAGUAUUAAGUGUUCUGUCAGAGUUUCAUUUCAUUUGAUAUACAGUUUGUUCUAUUUUUUUACAAAAGUGGCUUGUCCAGAAGAAAAUAUUGAUAUUCUAAAUUGGUUUUUGAAUGUUAGACAUUGCGUUGGAGACAAAGUGAAUGUUCUUUUCUAGCCUCUGUUUUUUGGUGAUGCUUCAGAAGAAUUGUUGAAGUUUUCAGCUUCCAACUACUUUAUUUCCAUUGGAAUUUCAAACUUUGAUCAUCAAUGUGGGAAUUCAAUUGAGUCGACUUAGUGAGUUCUAGAUUUAUGCUCAUGACAAUCAUAUUUAUAGUAGCUUUUAGUCAUUUUCGCUUUCAUGUUUGUGAAGAUUCUCAAUUUGAAUCAGUCACUGGAUUUUAAAUACAGUUUGUUUUAUUUUUUGAGUUGAUGAAUUUCUUUUUCACUUAUAGGAAACUGUUGCAUCUCAUUUGGAUAGCAUUUAUCAGAGAAGAAUGAAUCCUUUGCAAUCUAUCAUCUAUUGGGUUAUACACAUCACUACAAAAAAUUGACUUUUGUUGGCUGGCUUUAAUUAUUAUAUUUUGAAUCAUAAACUAAUAUCUAUCAGUUGUGUGGCCCACUGUCUAAUCUUCAGCAAAUGAAUUAGCUGUGAUCAUCUGCAGUACAUGAGCCCACUGGAUGAACAUGUACUCAAUGUACAGCCGGAGACUACAACUUUGGGCAUGGAGGCAUUCUACAUGGCAGAUUUCUUUGUAGCAGAUGUUGGUUACUGAAUUUUGUUCUUCUUAUAACUAUCAUCUCUUUACAAAAUAUAGAUUCUAUCUUACUGGUUGCUUGAAAUGCUUUUCAGUCGUUGGUUCCACUUGAGUAUCAUGCUAUCAAUAGCUCUAUUUCAAGCCGAUAUCGACUAAACAUGGUUGCAGAAGAAAGUCAUCAUUUGCAAUUUGCCAUGAGCUUGUAUGGUUUAUUUUUGUGAUUUAUAUGCCUUUUAGAUGCAUAAUCUGUAACUUACUACAAGCUUUCAAGAAUUGAUUAUAUUAUUUGGCUUCUCUCAAAUCAUCCCAUUGAUGCCUCAUAUUUGUUUUUGGCACUGAAGUUACAUUGUACUCAUUUUUCUCAUCGAUCCAUCAGCAAGGUCAGAAAAUAACUGCAAGUUCUAA